UGGUGGAGUGAUUUGUCUGGUUAAUUCCGAUAACGAACGAGACCUUAACCUGCUAAAUAGUCACACGAACCUUGGUUCGCGUUUGACUUCUUAGAGGGACUAUGGACGUUUAGUUCAUGGAAGUUUGAGGCAAUAACA
This 138-nucleotide ribosomal RNA is filed under the name uncultured eukaryote. RNAcentral's name for it is "partial 18S ribosomal RNA". It matches the Rfam family "Eukaryotic small subunit ribosomal RNA", at positions 1299 to 1458 of the family's 1831-position model. The record is from RNAcentral.